RNAcentral lists this transfer RNA (74 nucleotides) under Oscillatoriales cyanobacterium SM2_2_1. RNAcentral describes it as "tRNA-Arg". It matches the Rfam family "tRNA". From Rfam's summary of the family: Transfer RNA (tRNA) molecules are approximately 80 nucleotides in length. Their secondary structure includes four short double-helical elements and three loops (D, anti-codon, and T loops). The record is from RNAcentral. Lineage: Bacteria; Bacillati; Cyanobacteriota; Cyanophyceae; Oscillatoriales.
GGGGCUGUGGCUCAGUUGGAUAGAGCAAGUGCCUCCUAAGCACUAGGUCGGCGGUUCAAGUCCGCCCAGUCCCG